CCCUGCCUUUUGUACACACCGCCCGUCGCUUGUACCGAUUGGAUGGUCCGGUGAAAUCUUCGGAUCGCUGGCGUGCCGGCUUGCCGACGCGCUGCGAAAAGUUGAUUAAACCUUAUCAUCUAGAGGAACAAGAA
Molecule: ribosomal RNA, 134 nt
Filed under: uncultured eukaryote
Lineage: Eukaryota
Description: partial small subunit ribosomal RNA
Rfam family: Eukaryotic small subunit ribosomal RNA
Source: RNAcentral